UUAAGCGACUAAGCGUACACGGUGGAUGCCCUGGCAGUCAGAGGCGAUGAAGGACGUGCUAAUCUGCGAAAAGCGCCGGCGAGGUGAUAUGAACCUUUGACCCGGCGAUGUCCGAAUGGGGAAACCCAGUGCAAUCCGUUGCACUAUCGUUAACUGAAUACAUAGGUUAACGAGGCGAACCGGGGGAACUGAAACAUCUAAGUACCCCGAGGAAAAGAAAUCAACCGAGAUUCCCCCAGUAGCGGCGAGCGAACGGGGAGCAGCCCGGAGUCUGAAUCAGCUUGUGUGUUAGUGGAACGGUCUGGAAAGUCCGACGGUACAGGGUGAUAGUCCCGUACACGAAAGCACACUUGCUGUGAACUCGAAGAGUAGGGCGGGACACGUGGUAUCCUGUCUGAAUAUGGGGGGACCAUCCUCCAAGGCUAAAUACUCCUGACUGACCGAUAGUGAACCAGUACCGUGAGGGAAAGGCGAAAAGAACCCCGGCGAGGGGAGUGAAAAAGAACCUGAAACCGUGUACGUACAAGCAGUGGGAGCCUCUUUAUGGGGUGACUGCGUACCUUUUGUAUAAUGGGUCAGCGACUUAUAUUCUGUAGCAAGGUUAACCGUAUAGGGGAGCCGAAGGGAAACCGAGUCUUAACUGGGCGUUAAGUUGCAGGGUAUAGACCCGAAACCCGGUGAUCUAGCCAUGGGCAGGUUGAAGGUUGGGUAACACUAACUGGAGGACCGAACCGACUAAUGUUGAAAAAUUAGCGGAUGACCUGUGGCUGGGGGUGAAAGGCCAAUCAAACCGGGAGAUAGCUGGUUCUCCCCGAAAGCUAUUUAGGUAGCGCCUCGUGAACUCAUCUUCGGGGGUAGAGCACUGUUUCGGCUAGGGGGCCAUCCCGGCUUACCAACCCGAUGCAAACUACGAAUACCGAAGAAUGUUAUCACGGGAGACACACGGCGGGUGCUAACGUCCGUCGUGAAGAGGGAAACAACCCAGACCGCCAGCUAAGGUCCCAAAGUCAUGGUUAAGUGGGAAACGAUGUGGGAAGGCACAGACAGCCAGGAUGUUGGCUUAGAAGCAGCCAUCAUUUAAAGAAAGCGUAAUAGCUCACUGGUCGAGUCGGCCUGCGCGGAAGAUGUAACGGGGCUAAACCAUGCACCGAAGCUGCGGCAGCGACGCUUAUGCGUUGUUGGGUAGGGGAGCGUUCUGUAAGCCGUUGAAGGUGUCCUGUGAGGGGUGCUGGAGGUAUCAGAAGUGCGAAUGCUGACAUAAGUAACGAUAAAGCGGGUGAAAAGCCCGCUCGCCGGAAGACCAAGGGUUCCUGUCCAACGUUAAUCGGGGCAGGGUGAGUCGACCCCUAAGGCGAGGCCGAAAGGCGUAGUCGAUGGGAAACAGGUUAAUAUUCCUGUACUUGGUGUUACUGCGAAGGGGGGACGGAGAAGGCUAUGUCAGCCGGGCGACGGUUGUCCCGGUUUAAGCAUGUAGGCGGAGGUUCCAGGUAAAUCCGGUACCUUAUUAACGCUGAGGUGUGAUGACGAGGCACUACGGUGCUGAAGUGAUAAAUGCCCUGCUUCCAGGAAAAGCCUCUAAGCAUCAGGUAACACGAAAUCGUACCCCAAACCGACACAGGUGGUCAGGUAGAGAAUACCAAGGCGCUUGAGAGAACUCGGGUGAAGGAACUAGGCAAAAUGGUGCCGUAACUUCGGGAGAAGGCACGCUGAUGUGUAGGUGAAGUCCCUGCGGACGGAGCUGAAAUCAGUCGAAGAUACCAGCUGGCUGCAACUGUUUAUUAAAAACACAGCACUGUGCAAACACGAAAGUGGACGUAUACGGUGUGACGCCUGCCCGGUGCCGGAAGGUUAAUUGAUGGGGUUAGCGGCAACGCGAAGCUCUUGAUCGAAGCCCCGGUAAACGGCGGCCGUAACUAUAACGGUCCUAAGGUAGCGAAAUUCCUUGUCGGGUAAGUUCCGACCUGCACGAAUGGCGUAAUGAUGGCCAGGCUGUCUCCACCCGAGACUCAGUGAAAUUGAACUCGCUGUGAAGAUGCAGUGUACCCGCGGCAAGACGGAAAGACCCCGUGAACCUUUACUAUAGCUUGACACUGAACACUGGUCCUUGAUGUGUAGGAUAGGUGGGAGGCUUUGAAGCGUGGACGCCAGUCUGCGUGGAGCCAACCUUGAAAUACCACCCUUUAAUGGCUGGUGUUCUAACGUAGACCCGUAAUCCGGGUUGCGGACAGUGUCUGGUGGGUAGUUUGACUGGGGCGGUCUCCUCCCAAAGAGUAACGGAGGAGCACGAAGGUUGGCUAAUCCUGGUCGGACAUCAGGAGGUUAGUGCAAUGGCAUAAGCCAGCUUGACUGCGAGCGUGACGGCGCGAGCAGGUGCGAAAGCAGGUCAUAGUGAUCCGGUGGUUCUGAAUGGAAGGGCCAUCGCUCAACGGAUAAAAGGUACUCCGGGGAUAACAGGCUGAUACCGCCCAAGAGUUCAUAUCGACGGCGGUGUUUGGCACCUCGAUGUCGGCUCAUCACAUCCUGGGGCUGAAGUAGGUCCCAAGGGUAUGGCUGUUCGCCAUUUAAAGUGGUACGCGAGCUGGGUUUAGAACGUCGUGAGACAGUUCGGUCCCUAUCUGCCGUGGGCGCUGGAGAAUUGAGGGGGGCUGCUCCUAGUACGAGAGGACCGGAGUGGACGCAUCACUGGUGUUCGGGUUGUCAUGCCAAUGGCACUGCCCGGUAGCUAAAUGCGGAAGAGAUAAGUGCUGAAAGCAUCUAAGCACGAAACUUGCCCCGAGAUGAGUUCUCCCUGAGACCUUGAGUCUCCUGAAGGAACGUUGAAGACGACGACGUUGAUAGGUCGGGUGUGUAAGCGCAGCGAUGCGUUGAGCUAACCGAUACUAAUGAACCGUGAGGCUUAACCUU
Molecule: ribosomal RNA, 2904 nt
Filed under: Enterobacter hormaechei subsp. hoffmannii UCICRE 3
Lineage: Bacteria; Pseudomonadati; Pseudomonadota; Gammaproteobacteria; Enterobacterales; Enterobacteriaceae
Description: bacterial LSU rRNA
Rfam family: Bacterial large subunit ribosomal RNA
Source: RNAcentral